This is a long non-coding RNA of Physella acuta, 340 nucleotides long. RefSeq lists it as uncharacterized. The record is from RefSeq and is a predicted model, not a curated record. NCBI's taxonomy places the organism in Eukaryota, Metazoa, Mollusca, Gastropoda, Physidae.
CAGGGUGUGGAUUGUGGAUACACAAACAAAGAACUAUCGGGCAGCUGGUCAGGUGACUGACAUGAGAAACGGAAGUUACCAGAUUUCUGUUCGAUGUUUGUGGCCAGGUUUAGUAAAGGUGUACGUGGCUGUUGCCUACCCACGGGAAUACCUGAGGGUCACAAUGCUGCAGACACGUGCGGGUAACUCACGCUUCCUGGCAGGGAAAUUUAUUAACAAUGGAGUAGAGGAGGUGACUGUAUGCUGGGGCCAGCCAGACGUACCAGGUAGACCGUGUCUCUGUAACCUCACAUCCACCAACAGACAUCCUUUUUACUGUGGCCGUCCUCUGGACAAAAGG